Daphnia pulex (common water flea) is the source of this 4285-nucleotide long non-coding RNA. RefSeq lists it as uncharacterized. Lineage: Eukaryota; Metazoa; Arthropoda; Branchiopoda; Diplostraca; Daphniidae. The record is from RefSeq and is a predicted model, not a curated record. The transcript has 7 exons.
ACUUCUCGUCUGCUGAGCACGCUGAGUGGAUGCUAGUUCUCUCUUUUCCUGUGUGUAUGUUAAUCUCUUGCUUGUGUGCGUGUUAGUUCUAGCUUGUGUGUGAAUGUGUUAGUUCCAUUAGGGCACCAUUGGUUAGGUUAGUGUAGUGUUUAAGACAAAUAGUGUAGUUAGCCAAUGGUGAAGGCCACCGUCUUGUUCUGUACCGUGUCGUUGGCCAGCAUUACGGUGCUUUUUACAAGUGGUUUUCAUCAACGAGUGAACUAACUAGAUUGCCCGUGACAAUGGUGGAGAUGCAGGGUACAGUUACACUCGUUGAUUGAGAACAAUUUACAUUUUGAUUUUGUGUGUGUGAAACAAACCUUGGACAAAUUUGUGUUGGAAGAUUGAGGCGUCCCAUAGUCAACGUUUAUGUUACGUUGCAUCGUUCGCCCGUUCAACAUCAACGCUUCGCUUCUUUUUGUGGUCACGUAUCGUUCCAAAUUGUUUGUGUGACACGAUUAUCUGUUUCUUUUUUAUUUUGUAGGUUUAUCAUCGUGGAAAUUUUUAUUGAUUGGAAUUUGGAAUCGACGUAGUAUCGACGUUGAGUACGUUGGCGUGGCGUGGGUGCUGAGUCAUCCAACGGAGAUGAGCCAUCCAACAUUUUUUCCAUUUACGUCUUGCCGACGUUGGUCUUGUGUGGCGAGCGGAGAAUUUUUGAUUCAUAACUUUUUUUGAUAUUUGUUUAUUAAUUCUCUUUUGCUUUUUAUUUAGAUUUGAGUUGAAGAUUAUUGGCUUUUGGGUUUUUGGAUAAUCCCGUUUUGAUUUGUUUGUGAUCCAGACCCAAGGGCUGGUAAGUUGUGUUCCCUAACCCUCAUAGACUUUUUCUUACAGGUACUUGAGGCUUGAUAGCCGUUUUGAUUGAGAGUGAGAGAGCAUUGGCUCCUGUUUGUUUGUGAGUCUUGGACUCUUUUCUUGUUGAUGGCCACUUGUUGAAUACCCACCACAAAACUUAUUAAUUGCGAGUAGCUCCCUCCCUAUUUUCGACUAUUAGUUGGGAUUGGAAUUGGUGGCGAAUAUUUGUCAAAUUUCCUUUGCUACAGUAAACGAUUAACAUGGCUGAUCGGGACCAAGCGGGUCACGGGGAAUUUGUGCUACCAGAUACAGAUGGCGUUUUUACGAAACGUGAAACGAAACGAAACGGCACCUGUAUGCGGCGGCUCUUUUAUGAACCAUAGCGGCAAAUAAUUUUUUUCUGUGAACUUUCUCAUUAAAUAACUAAAGAGCUAUUAAAUAUUUUUAAAAACGACUUUUACAGUUAGGAAAAUUUUUAUCUUAACUAAAAAUGUACAAAAGAUCAAAAUUUUAGGACAACUACAUGACUAGAUAUAAUGAGUUUACGGAGGGACUAUCCGACAUAAGGUCCCUUGUAAACUCCUUUUGGUGAUUUUAUAAAAAUUGAGGCAUAGUCCCUCAUAGUAUAUUUAAUUACUAAAAAAUCGUUAAAGCUAGAAGAUUCAAAAUUUGAACCCUGAUAAAUAAAAAGACGGGGAACAUUUAUUAGCUGUCAAAAAAAAUUUAUUUCUAUUUCUUAGCACAAUUAUAACACAUUUUCUAAUGUUUACAUUUUGUUUUAUAUUUUUGUUAUAGCAAAAAUAAUUAUUUUUGAUGAGGGUUUUUACAAGAAAUAUAAAAUCAUAGUAAAAACAAAGCUCAUGAAAAAAAUUCUGUGUUGCAAUUUGUUCACGGUCAAAAAUUAUCUUGACUCCACUAUAAAGAAACUUUCACGGAUGACUAUAAAAAAAGGGAGGAGGAUAUAACAUCUUGUCGGCAGAAGUUCACCUCCCUUUCAAGAGGGGGUUAAACCGUUAAAGCACUUAGAAAUGAAAAUCGACAACAAUUGCAGUAAUAUCAGAGCGAAAUAAAAAAGGGGGACAAAACAAAAAUGAAAAAGAGUUAAAAAAAGUCCCUUUCAUUUCUUCUUUUCAGGAGGUCAUUAUUUGUCAUUUGAUGAUAUUCAAGCGAGAGAGAAAAUGUUAGAAAAUGAGAUCCAAUAGAAACCGAAGAAGAGAAAAACACCUCCAAGACUAUAAGCAGCCCCAUAAAUCCAAUUUCCCUGAGAAGGGAAGGCUUACCGCCUUUUUGGCCGAGAAAUUUAGAGAAAAAAGGUUCAGACAGUCCUCCAAAUACUAUUAACCUUAAGAGGUCCCUGGGGAAUUGGGCGGGGGGCGACGAAAAUGGUUUUUCAUACUUUCACGCUCUCGUUAUCCACCGAUCACGACACGACCUAUCUCAUUCCAAGUAGAAUGACUUUUUACAUAUACUAUGAUUAAAUUUUACAACAAUUAACAAAAUAAACGGGAGAUUGGAAGCAAAAAGGGGUAGAAAGAGGGAAAACUUCAAAAAUAGAUUGCACAUACGAUUCCACAAGAUUAAAGGGUCCAAUCAGUUCUAAUGGAAAGAAGAACUUUCCAUUUAACCGAAAAGACUAAAUUUGCGUUGUGGUUUUUCUUAUUCUCGAGAUAUCUGCGAAAGAAAAACACACCCAGAUUGACUUUUAGUUUAUUGUUGACUAGUAGACGACAGCUCUCGCCCGUCUGCUUGUGGAACGUCAGGCUCAACUGUCAAUCUAGGUUAUUUAAUUUGUCAUAUAAUGUUGUGUAGCUAUAACAUGUAACGUCACCCAAUUUAAGAAAAGAUUUCGUCUCCCUAUCUAAGAAAAGAUUCUGUCUCCUAAGAGUAACAGAGCAAUUUAAUAACAGAUAGUCAUGGAAGUCUGUUGUUUAAUCCUCCGCUUCUUGAUUUUGGAGACUGGUAUUCAUAGCAAUUUAUCGUUUGCUCAUGCGAACCAUUAAUCCCAACAACAACAGAAUUAACGAAAAGCCCAUCAACAUCCUUUAAAUCUCUGGUUAAUCUCUUCAUUUCCACUGUUCAUUUGUGGAGGAUAACGUACUUGACAGUCAUCGAAAAAUAUUUAUUUUGAAGUAGUUUUCCUUAGAAGAGAGGGGGGAUAUGUGAAAGACACCUUGUACAUCCACACCACCAGGGGUUCAUUCCCCUAUCGAAUACAAGCCCGUAGUCUUCCCAAUCUUUUUUUUGCUAAGCCAUUCGUGAACGUACGCACUGCGGGCAAUACAACUUUUUCCCCACUAAUUCAUCUCGUUUGCAUCCGCACUACAGGUUCUAGAAAUGUUUGGCAGUAGCUGAGACAUCCAUCUGGAAAUACCGAUUGUGGGGAGAGCAAGAAAACGAAUCGCUCGACUGGUGGCUCAUCCCACCACAUUAAAAUAAGGCUAUUGCCAAAGUCAACUUUGUGGCCAUGAGAGUGCUUAACGUCCCUGCUUUCGUAAGGAUACGAACCAACUAUACAGCUCAUACUCACGGCUCACUGAUGUUGCCCAUCAGUCUGGAAGUGACUAGUCAGCCGUUACGUUUUUGCCCUCAGCAGUACCUACCUUGACUUUGGAGUAGUCGAUGUCAACGAUCCUCACAAAACGCUUAAAAGUUUUGUGAUAAAUUCUGGCAAUCGACCCAUCACCGUUUAGGUAUUUCGACCACCCAAUUCCCUGCGCCUUAAUCAUGUUUGAAUAAUAUAUUUUGAAAUCCGGCCAAAAAUAUCGACAUUCUCUCAAUGAUAUAAAAACAUUAGCUUGUGAAUCUUUUAUAACCUUUAAAUUAAUAAAACUUUAGCGAUUAAACCGUGACGGCGGUGCCACUAAGCGAAGGAUAUUGUCGAUCGAAUUUAGUCCAAUCAUGGUCCCGCCAUCUCUGACAACACCGACCUUGGUCGCCCUAGUUACAUUUAAUCACAUGCAUCUUAUGCCAGAAUGAUCGGUCAAAUGGCCCAAUGUAAAUUUGCUGCCACAAAAGCCUUGAGGUGCUGUAAAAUGAACACUGCAGAGGAUUAUCACUAUCAUGACCUUUACAACCAGAUUGCAGAAGUAAUCGUUUUAGCUCAAAAAGACAUUGAAGCAACAAAGAAGGAGUUACAAGAAGCAAGACAGAUUCGUAGGAAUAAAAUGGAAUCUGAUGCUUUGGCUGUCAUUAUUCAAACACAGCGUGAUCGAAAGAGCAACCAAGACAAAUUAUCACUAUUGCGACAGGAACUGGAAGCCUCAGAAUGUGAAUGUCAGAAAUGGGAGAAAAAAGAGCUAAAUUAGAACAAAGAUGCAAACAAUUUCACUUACUCAUUUCAACUGUCCAAGGUUCAAGGUUCUCAACGAUGAUGAAGCAUCCUAAUUGUUUAUUUUGUAUUAAUCCAUAUUCUCUAUUUUUGAAUAAUAAUGCUAACAAAUACAAAUCAUUUGAA